AUUGAACGCUGGCGGCAGGCCUAACACAUGCAAGUCGAACGGCUGAAGAGUGAUUGCUCCUUCAUUCGGGGGCCGAGUGGUGGAUGGUGCCUGAAUACCUGCGUGGUUGUUGUGUAUAGGGGGAUAACGUGGGGGCUCAUACGGUAUAAGCCCUUACGGCGUAAGGGUGUGAUCUUGGGAUCUUACGCUCUUAGAUGAUCGAAGGUGGCGAUGUCGAGUUAGCUAGUUGGAGGGGUAAAGGCGCAACAAUGCGACGAUCCGUAGCUGGUCUGAGAGGAUGAUCAGCCACACUGGAACUGAGACACGGUCCAGACUCCUACGGGAGGCAGCAGUGGGGAAUAUUGGACAAAGGGCGCAAGCCUGAUCCAGCCAUACCGCGUGGGUGAAGAAGGCCUUCGGGUUGUAAAGCCCUUUUGUUGGGAAAGAAAAGCAGCAGGUUAAUACCCCGCUGUUCUGACGGUACCCAAAGAAUAAGCACCGGCUAACUUCGUG
Molecule: ribosomal RNA, 492 nt
Filed under: uncultured bacterium
Lineage: Bacteria
Description: partial 16S ribosomal RNA
Rfam family: Bacterial small subunit ribosomal RNA
Source: RNAcentral